This 253-nucleotide ribosomal RNA is filed under the name uncultured bacterium. Its description in RNAcentral is "partial 16S ribosomal RNA". It matches the Rfam family "Bacterial small subunit ribosomal RNA", at positions 524 to 776 of the family's 1533-position model. The record is from RNAcentral.
UACGAAGGGGGCUAGCGUUGCUCGGAAUUACUGGGCGUAAAGCGCACGUAGGCGGCUUGUUAAGUCGGGGGUGAAAUCCUGGAGCUCAACUCCAGAACUGCCUUCGAUACUGGCGAGCUCGAGUUCGGGAGAGGUGAGUGGAACUGCGAGUGUAGAGGUGAAAUUCGUAGAUAUUCGGCGGAACACCAGUGGCGAAGGCGACUCACUGGCCCGAUGCUGACGCUGAGGCGCGAAAGCUAGGGGAGCAAACAGG